AUGAACGCUGGCGGCGUGCCUCAUAAAUGGAAGUCGAGCGAACGGACGAGAAGCUUGCUUUUCUGAUGUUAGCGGCGGACGGGUGAGUAACACGUGGAUAAACUACCUAUAAGACUGGGAUAAAUUCGGGAAACCGGAGGUAAUACCGGAAAAUAUUUUGAACCGCAUGGUUCAAAAGUGAAAGACGGUCUUGCUGUCACUUAUAGAUGGAUCCGCGCUGCAUUAGCUAGUUGGUAAGGUAACGGCUUACCAAGGCAACGAUGCAUAGCCGACCUGAGAGGGUGAUCGGCCACACUGGAACUGAGACACGGUCCAGACUCCUACGGGAGGCAGCAGUAGGGAAUCUUCCGCAAUGGGCGAAAGCCUGACGGAGCAACGCCGCGUGAGUGAUGAAGGUCUUCGGAUCGUAAAACUCUGUUAUUAGGGAAGAACAUAUGUGUAAGUAACUGUGCACAUCUUGACGGUACCUAAUCAGAAAGCCACGGCUAACUACGUG
RNAcentral lists this ribosomal RNA (496 nucleotides) under uncultured bacterium. RNAcentral's name for it is "partial 16S ribosomal RNA". It matches the Rfam family "Bacterial small subunit ribosomal RNA", at positions 29 to 507 of the family's 1533-position model. The record is from RNAcentral.